GCUUCUGUAGCUCAGGGGAUAGAGCAGUGGUUUCCUAAACCAUGUGCGCAUGUUCGAGUCAUGCCAGAAGCACCA
This 75-nucleotide transfer RNA is filed under the name bacterium. RNAcentral describes it as "tRNA-Arg". It matches the Rfam family "tRNA". Rfam says of the family: Transfer RNA (tRNA) molecules are approximately 80 nucleotides in length. Their secondary structure includes four short double-helical elements and three loops (D, anti-codon, and T loops). The record is from RNAcentral.